UUAUACCGCGAAACUGCGAAUGGCUCAUUAAAUCAGUUAUCGUUUAUUUGAUAGCACCUUACUACUUGGAUAACCGUGGUAAUUCUAGAGCUAAUACAUGCUGAAAAUCCCGACUUCGGAAGGGAUGUAUUUAUUAGAUUAAAAACCAAUGCCCUCCGGGGCUCACUGGUGAUUCAUGAUAACUUCUCGAAUCGCAUGGCCUUGCGCCGGCGAUGGUUCAUUCAAAUUUCUGCCCUAUCAACUUUCGACUGCUGGGUCUUGGCCAGCAAUGGUGACAACGGGUAACGGAGGGUUAGGGCUCGACCCCGGAGAAGGAGCCUGAGAAACGGCUACUACAUCCAAGGAAGGCAGCAGGCGCGCAAAUUACCCAAUCCCGACACGGGGAGGUAGUGACAAUAAAUACUGAUACAGGGCUCUUUUGGGUCUUGUAAUUGGAAUGAGUACAAUUUAAAUCCCUUAACGAGGAACAAUUGGAGGGCAAGUCUGGUGCCAGCAGCCGCGGUAAUUCCAGCUCCAAUAGCGUAUAUUAAAGUUGUUGCAGUUAAAAAGCUCGUAGUUGAACCUUGGGCCUGGCCGGCCGGUCCGCCUCACCGCGUGCACUGGUUCGGCCGGGCCUUUUCCUCUGGCGAGCCCCAUGCCCUUCACUGGGCGUGUGGGGGAACCAGGACUUUUACUUUGAAAAAAUUAGAGUGUUCAAAGCAGGCCUAUGCUCGAAUACAUUAGCAUGGAAUAAUAGAAUAGGACGUGCGGUUCUAUUUUGUUGGUUUCUAGGACCGCCGUAAUGAUUAAUAGGGACAGUCGGGGGCAUCAGUAUUCAAUUGUCAGAGGUGAAAUUCUUGGAUUUAUUGAAGACUAACUACUGCGAAAGCAUUUGCCAAGGAUGUUUUCAUUAAUCAGGAACGAAAGUUAGGGGAUCGAAGACGAUCAGAUACCGUCGUAGUCUUAACCAUAAACUAUGCCGACUAGGGAUCGGACGAUGUUAUUUUUUGACUCGUUCGGCACCUUACACGAAAGUACAAGUU
This 1022-nucleotide ribosomal RNA is filed under the name Distoseptispora guttulata. RNAcentral describes it as "SSU rRNA". It matches the Rfam family "Eukaryotic small subunit ribosomal RNA", at positions 74 to 1105 of the family's 1831-position model. The record is from RNAcentral. Lineage: Eukaryota; Fungi; Ascomycota; Sordariomycetes; Distoseptisporaceae.